CCUACGGGUGGCAGCAGUGAGGAAUAUUGGUCAAUGGACGAGAGUCUGAACCAGCCAAGUAGCGUGAAGGAUGACUGCCCUAUGGGUUGUAAACUUCUUUUAUAUGGGAAUAAAACGUUCCACGUGUGGGAUUUUGUAUGUACCCUAUGAAUAAGGAUCGGCUAACUCCGUGCCAGCAGCCGCGGUAAUACGGAGGAUCAGAGCGUUAUCCGGAUUUAUUGGGUUUAAAGGGAGCGUAGGUGGAUUGUUAAGUCAGUUGUGAAAGUUUGCGGCUCAACCAUAAAAUUGCAGUUGAAACUGGCAGUCUUGAGUACAGUAGAGGUGGGCGGAAUUCGGGGUGUAGCGGUGAAAUGCUUAGAUAUCACGAAGAACUCCGAUUGCGAAGGCAGUUCACUGGACUGCAACUGACACUGAGGCUCGAAAGUGUGGGUAUCAAACAGGAUUAGAUACCCGGGUAGUC
This 460-nucleotide ribosomal RNA is filed under the name uncultured bacterium. RNAcentral's name for it is "partial 16S ribosomal RNA". It matches the Rfam family "Bacterial small subunit ribosomal RNA", at positions 338 to 795 of the family's 1533-position model. The record is from RNAcentral.